GAUGAAGAACGUAGCGAAAUGCGAUAAGUAAUGUGAAUUGCAGAAUUCAGUGAAUCAUCGAAUCUUUGAACGCACAUUGUGCCCGCCAGUAUUCUGGCGGGCAUGCCUGUUCGAGCGUCAUUACAACCCUCAGGCCCCCGGGCCUGGCGUUGGGGAUCGGCGGAGCCCCCCGUGGGCACACGCCGUCCCCCAAAUACAGUGGCGGUCUCGCCGCAGCUUCCAUCGCGUAGUAGCUAACACCUCGCGACUGGAGAGCGGCGCGGCCACGCCGUAAAACACCCAACUCUUCUGAAGUUGACCUCGAAUCAGGUAGGAAUACCCGCUGAACUUAAGCAUAUCAAUAGCGGAGGA
Molecule: unclassified non-coding RNA, 351 nt
Filed under: soil metagenome
Description: partial contains 5.8S ribosomal RNA, internal transcribed spacer 2, and large subunit ribosomal RNA
Rfam family: 5.8S ribosomal RNA (bases 1-120)
Source: RNAcentral